Syngnathus typhle (broad-nosed pipefish) is the source of this 976-nucleotide long non-coding RNA. RefSeq lists it as uncharacterized. The transcript is spliced from 5 exons. Lineage: Eukaryota; Metazoa; Chordata; Actinopteri; Syngnathiformes; Syngnathidae. The record is from RefSeq and is a predicted model, not a curated record.
CGCCUGCGCAUUUACUACCGGAAGCCGUGUCAGAAAGCUCGGUGCACACUCACAAGUGCGUGUACGUAUUCAGUAGUACGGACUUGGCGCACUCUCGCUCUAUUCGUAUCAGUCCCGAAUUUAGAGCGUGGGCUUUGACGACAGCAUUCUUAUAAUUCGCGCGCUGAGCUUUCAGAUGCAGUUUUGCGCUAAAGCCACCCACAAACCUACCCCUGGAAUCCUUCCAUUAAAAUGAGUGGCCCGAAAAAAAGAAGUGAGUGCCGAGUGUUUAAAAAAGAGUGGCCAAUUUGGCUCGACGUACGCGACGUGACGUUCAGCCACAUCAACAUCAACCCGUCACAGAUCAAGGAGGGGAGCUGUAUUAUUGCCGCCAAAAAGGCACAGACCAGGCAGUCCAAGUGAAGGUUGUCUGUGGUGCUGAAGAGGCAAAUGAAAUUCUUAAGAGUUUUCAUGCCAGCCCGGCAGGGGCACACACCGGGCAAAAUAAAACAAGACACAGCAUCUUUCUGCUGGCCAGCGAUGUCUGUUGACAUUAAUGAGUGGGUGUCCCAGUGCACGGAAUGUCAGGCAGCCGGCAUAUCAAUAAAAAGCCCAACAGAGGUCAUGCCUAUACAGUUUGCAGAACAUCUUCUUUCAAAUGAAGAAAUAGAUUUCUCAGCAAAGGCACAUGAUGUAAAUAGGUACAGGGUGCAAAUUGCCACCACACUUCUAUUAGAGACUGAUGAUUUAUCUAACUUGUGCUUUGUUUGUGGGGAAGGUACACAUGACACAGACAACAGAUGGGUAAUUAUGUCAGGUCUUGUUAACUAAUGCAUGUGAUGAUUAAGAAGUAUAUUGAAUUACACAUUCGUUGUAAAUUAUUGUGUGACGAGUGUUGCAGGUGGUUCCAUCUUGUAUGUGUCGGGGAGCCUCCAACCGAAGGCUCUUUUUUGUGUACAACAUGUACAGAAAUUAAAUGCUAAAUAUUUGAAGCUUG